This 421-nucleotide ribosomal RNA is filed under the name uncultured bacterium. Its description in RNAcentral is "bacterial SSU rRNA". It matches the Rfam family "Bacterial small subunit ribosomal RNA", at positions 358 to 771 of the family's 1533-position model. The record is from RNAcentral.
GGAAUCUUCCACAAUGGACGCAAGUCUGAUGGAGCAACGCCGCGUGAGUGAAGAAGGCUCUCGUGUCGUAAAACUCUGUUGUUGGAGAAGAAUGGUCGGCAGAGUAACUGUUGCCGGCGUGUCGGUAUCCAAUCAGAAAGCCACGGCUAACUACGGGCCAGCAGCCGCGGUAAUACGUAGGUGGCAAGCGUUAUCCGGAUUUAUUUGGCGUAAAGCGAGCGCAGGCGGUUUUUUAAGUCUGAUGUGAAAGCCCUCGGCUUAACCGAGGAAGCGCAUCGGAAACUGGGAAACUUGAGUGCAGAAGAGGACAGUGGAACUCCAUGUGUAGCGGUGAAAUGCGUAGAUAUAUGGAAGAACACCAGUGGCGAAGGCGGCUGUCUGGUCUGUAACUGACGCUGAGGCGCGAAAGCAUGGGUAGCGA